GUCCGGAUUGGAGUCUGCAACUCGACUCCAUGAAGUCGGAAUCGCUAGUAAUCGUGGAUCAGAAUGCCACGGUGAAUACGUUCCCGGGCCUUGUACACACCGCCCGUCACACCAUGGGAGUGGGUUGCAAAAGAAGUAGGUAGCUUAACCUUCGGGAGGGCGCUUACCACUUUGUGAUUCAUGACUGGGGUGAAGUCGUAACAAGGUAACCGUAGGGGAACCUGCGGUUGGAUCACCUCCUUA
This 243-nucleotide ribosomal RNA is filed under the name Escherichia coli. RNAcentral's name for it is "partial 16S ribosomal RNA". It matches the Rfam family "Bacterial small subunit ribosomal RNA", at positions 1291 to 1533 of the family's 1533-position model. RNAcentral also lists the same sequence under 3 other names. The record is from RNAcentral. Lineage: Bacteria; Pseudomonadati; Pseudomonadota; Gammaproteobacteria; Enterobacterales; Enterobacteriaceae.